GAUGAACGUUAGCGGCAGGCCUAAUACAUGCAAGUCGAGGGGUAAGGCUCAUUUCGGUGAGUACACGACCGGCGCACGGGUGCGUAACGCGUAUGCAACCUACCUUUAACAGGGGGAUAGCCCCGAGAAAUCGGGAUUAAUACUCCAUAACAAUAGUUUACCACAUGGCAGACUAUUUAAAGCUCCGGCGGUUAAAGAUGGGCAUGCGUGACAUUAGCUGGUUGGUGAGGUAACGGCUCACCAAGGCGACGAUGUCUAGGGGGUCUGAGAGGAUGAUCCCCCACACUGGUACUGAGACACGGACCAGACUCCUACGGGAGGCAGCAGUAAGGAAUAUUGCGCAAUGGAGGCAACUCUGACGCAGCCAUGCCGCGUGCAGGAAGACGGCCUUAUGGGUUGUAAACUGCUUUUAUAAAGGAAUAACACCUUGCUCGUGAGCGAGGUUGAAGGUACUUUAUGAAUAAGCACCGGCUAACUCCGUGCCAGCAGCCGCGGUAAUACGGAGGGUGCAAGCGUUAUCCGGAUUCAUUGGGUUUAAAGGGUGCGCAGGCGGACCUGUCAGUCAGUGGUGAAAUCCCGGGGCUCAACCUCGGAACUGCCAUUGAUACUGCAGGUCUUGAGUUUGGUUGAAGUGGGCGGAAUGUAGCAUGUAGCGGUGAAAUGCAUAGAUAUGCUACAGAACACCGAUCGCGAAGGCAGCUCACUAAGCCGAUAUUGACGCUCAGGCACGAAAGCGUGGGUAGCGAACAGGAUUAGAUACCCUGGUAGUCCACGCCGUAAACGAUGAUAACUCGUUGUUGGCGAUACACAGUCAGCGACUAAGCGAAAGCGAUAAGUUAUCCACCUGGGGAGUACGAUCGCAAGGUUGAAACUCAAAGGAAUUGACGG
Molecule: ribosomal RNA, 888 nt
Filed under: uncultured Bacteroidota bacterium
Lineage: Bacteria; Pseudomonadati; Bacteroidota
Description: bacterial SSU rRNA
Rfam family: Bacterial small subunit ribosomal RNA
Source: RNAcentral